This 24-nucleotide non-coding RNA is filed under the name Arabidopsis thaliana (thale cress). The record is from RNAcentral. Lineage: Eukaryota; Viridiplantae; Streptophyta; Magnoliopsida; Brassicales; Brassicaceae.
UAUCACACAUGAUCGAGAGCUGCC